Molecule: long non-coding RNA, 963 nt
Filed under: Sus scrofa (pig)
Lineage: Eukaryota; Metazoa; Chordata; Mammalia; Artiodactyla; Suidae
Description: lncRNA (ENSSSCG00050077123.1, ENSSSCG00060044043.1)
Source: RNAcentral
CCUCCUGCCCCUUCCCCACGUGUAAAUGCGUCACAGGCUCUUAGGGGACAGGCUGACCCCCAUGGCUCGAUCUUCCCAAACACUGUCGGGGGCAGGUCUGCCAGGAGUCCUUGCUGAGGCCCUGGGGAAGUUUCCUUUGCUUGGAACAAUUUGGGUAGAAGGUUUCAAAUGAACUGGAGUGAAAAAGCAGAAGAUGAAAACCUGGGCGUGCCCUUCACAAAUGGGAAGAGACACGCGGGCGCACGUCUGUGAGUGUGGGGGCUGGGCUCCGAGUGAGACUUGUUGCGGGAACACAGCACUCCUUGUUCGAGGGUUGGAUCUGACGGAUCCGGGGCCUAAACUGGGAGGCCCUUCACACGAGGCUGUGGUUUCCUUCCUGCCUCGCCAUGAAAAGACUAUUUUUGCCGAGCUGUGUAAGUCUGUGUGUACGCCGGGCACGCAUGGCUGUCGGAUGCCAAGCCCGAAUAGCUGUACUCACACAGCUCAGCGAGACAGCCGCCCAAACAAAGCCGCCCCCCGGGCCCUGGCCGCCGACAGAGGGAAGAGGGGACCACGCUGAGCCCCAGGAAAAUCAAUUUCUGUCUGAUCCCCCCAAACCGAACUCAUGGUCACAGAAGACACCGUGGUUGAUGAAGGCUGGAGCAGGGGUGGAAGGAAGGAGAGAAGGUGAUCUGAGGGCACAAGAGUCCAGAAAACGGAAAGGACAAAUGGCCUCGAAUCCCUCUCAGAAGCGGAUGGGCAACAUCUGGAGAAUACAGCCAGCUAGCCAGUGAGACCCUCAUCCACACCGUCCCCCCACCAGCAGACCUACAUCCCCUCUGGACCCUGAGGCCUCAGGCGGCAGCAGGGGGUCUACGGCCCGGCUCAGAGAAAUGUUUUUGAUGCGUAAAGUAAAAACGUAGGAUCACAGCAACUGCACCACUGUUGUGGAAAUGUUUCUUUAAAAGCACAGUCAUGAGAUAG